UACGUAGGGGGCUAGCGUUGUCCGGAAUCAUUGGGCGUAAAGAGCGUGUAGGCGGCUUGGCAAGUCCGCUGUGAAAGUCCAGGGCUCAACCCUGGAACGCCAGUGGAAACUGUCAAGCUAGAGUCCGGAAGAGGCGAGUGGAACUCCUGGUGUAGCGGUGAAAUGCGCAGAUAUCAGGAAGAACACCAAUGGCGAAGGCAGCUCGCUGGGACGGUACUGACGCUGAGACGCGAAAGCGUGGGGAGCAAACAGG
RNAcentral lists this ribosomal RNA (253 nucleotides) under uncultured bacterium. Its description in RNAcentral is "partial 16S ribosomal RNA". It matches the Rfam family "Bacterial small subunit ribosomal RNA", at positions 524 to 776 of the family's 1533-position model. The record is from RNAcentral.